RNAcentral lists this unclassified non-coding RNA (305 nucleotides) under plant metagenome. Its description in RNAcentral is "partial contains 5.8S ribosomal RNA, internal transcribed spacer 2, and large subunit ribosomal RNA". The stretch from base 1 to 105 matches the Rfam family "5.8S ribosomal RNA", at positions 50 to 154 of the family's 154-position model. The record is from RNAcentral.
GAAAUGCGAUAAGUAAUGUGAAUUGCAGAAUUCAGUGAAUCAUCGAAUCUUUGAACGCACAUUGCGCCCGCCAGUAUUCUGGCGGGCAUGCCUGUUCGAGCGUCAUUUCAACCAUCAAGCCCCCGGCUUGUGUUGGGGACCUGCGGCUGCCCGCAGGCCCUGUAAAACAGUGGCGGGCUCGCUGUCACACCGAGCGUAGUAGCAUACAUUCUCGCUCAGGGCGUGCUGCGGGUUCCGGCCGUUAAACGACCUUCAUAACCCAAGGUUGACCUCGGAUCAGGUAGGAAGACCCGCUGAACUUAAGC